CUGACGCCACCCGCUAUCCUGAUACCGGUCCUCUGUCCACUCGAGGCCGCGGUAGGCGUCGUCGUCGGCGUAGGUGCAAUGGCAGUGUCCUCAAUUGUGAUGCCUGAAAACAAAACGUGGACAAAUCUUUUCAUCAUUACUUCAAUCACUGGAAAUAUGUGGAAUACGAAGGAAAGCCAUAGUGUGUCAUCGGGGGAUUAACUAUGUUUCCAUUGAGAAAGACUUCGCAUCUGUGCAACAUCCUAGUACAGCGGGCGGUGUAUUGUUAUAAAGUACAUAUCCUGUACAAACACUCCUAACAAUAGGAACUUUGGAAAUUGCCUAACGAUUCGACACAGCUAGAACAUCUGCUGUUUAUAAAUGGAGUUUUUUAUUCAUUAUUAUCAAUUGCUUACCAACUUGCGGCGUGGUAGGAACGAUCACGCUCGGUCUGUUGUGGUGAUUUGGUCUUCCUGCUGACAUAUCCAACGCUUCGCUCUGAAUCGGAUCUCUCCUACGCUCCUUACGCCACGCACUGCUCGGCUUUCGAUGCAGAUUCGUUACCUUUGGCCUCUCCUCUGCAAUGCACAAAAACAUCAAAAAUAUCAUCGUGAACAUUAUAUCUCUUGAGACAAUGGAUUUCGAAGAACAAUGAUCUACGAAGAUACUCUCUAGAUCCAAACGAAGAUACUUGAAGAUUUAUAUCCAUUAUUACGAUGGAUUAUUAUUUCAUUAUAUCAGUCACGUUCAGUUAGUUCUAGUGACGAUAGCCCUUGCUCUAUUAAUGUUUUUCGUUCUAAAUCGGAUCGGAAUUCGUACUCUUUUAACGUUCUAAGCAACACAAGACAACACGUAGUCAGCAAAACUGUCUCCGUAAGUUCGAAAACAAAAUGCACAUCUUAACUUUGUUGGACUGUAAAAGGGGAUGUGGAGAACAUCAAUGUUAUUUCGAAUCGGUCACGCAGUGGGGAGAAGAGAAGAAGAGUGAUGGACACAUGGGAGCGAAUAGGCUAGCUGUAAAUAUUUUCCAAGAUUUUUUCUAUUUAGCCAAGAGAGUUUGUGUAAGCAAAACUGUACGUGUACGUGAACGAAGCAGCAAGCUUCAUCAUUAUAUGUAUUAUCAACCGAGUCUUGUUUAUGUACAACUUUCGAUAAGAAUAUAGCAUAGUUAGAAUUCUUCCCUUACGGCUAUUUACCACGCUUCGCGACGGGUCGCGUUAUCGAUUGGAAAUCGCGAGGGUC
Solenopsis invicta (red fire ant) is the source of this 1221-nucleotide long non-coding RNA. RefSeq lists it as uncharacterized. NCBI's taxonomy places the organism in Eukaryota, Metazoa, Arthropoda, Insecta, Hymenoptera, Formicidae. The transcript is spliced from 3 exons. The record is from RefSeq and is a predicted model, not a curated record.